RNAcentral lists this ribosomal RNA (301 nucleotides) under uncultured bacterium. RNAcentral's name for it is "partial 16S ribosomal RNA". It matches the Rfam family "Bacterial small subunit ribosomal RNA", at positions 509 to 807 of the family's 1533-position model. The record is from RNAcentral.
CAGUCGCCGCGGUAAUACGAGGGGGGCAAGCGUUGUUCGGAAUUACUGGGCGUAAAGCGUGCGCAGGCGGUUUGUUAAGACAGAUGUGAAAUCCCCGGGCUUAACCUGGGAACUGCAUUUGUGACUGGCAAGCUAGAGUAUGGCAGAGGGGGGUGGAAUUCCGCGUGUAGCAGUGAAAUGCGUAGAUAUGCGGAGGAACACCGAUGGCGAAGGCAGCCCCCUGGGCCAAUACUGACGCUCAUGCACGAAAGCGUGGGGAGCAAACAGGAUUAGAUACCCCCGUAGUCCCUGUCUCUUAUAC